GCGGAGGCGGGGCGCGAGGAAGGGGCGCGGUCCGGGUCAAGGGCGGGAGUGAGCUGGCAGCACCGGGGCCGCGGCGCACACCCUCUGACGGGUCUUCCACGCGCUGGUUCCGAGGCCGCCCUCCAGGUAAGUUCAGCCUCCGCGCGCCUCUCAGCCCCGGGCGCGCCUGCGCCAGGUCCCCCGGAAGCAGAGCGCGGCCCCGGGGCCAUAGCAGAAACGGCGCCCACACCGAGCCCACUGCGCGGGGGCAGGGUCCGAGGGGAGGCAGGGAGUCCACGUCUCCCGUUUCAGAAUCACGGAAGAAAAUCUUCCCGAUUCAGUUCACGGUCCUGAGGGGCAAAAAUGUCUGUUCUGCGAGGGUCACUCAGUUCCGGUCUGGUGGGGGGCGGGGGAGCACGCUGACAGCCAGUUGCCCCGGCGGGAGCCCUGGACCCUGGCUUUUCAUCACAGCCAGAAUCUGUGCUGGGAUCCAGUUGGCCAUCCUGGCCUCCCCAGUCCUCAGGGUCUGGGGAACAGAAAAAGAGCGCGGGGCGGGGGGCCUGGAGGCGGUGGGGUGGAGUGGAGUACAGAACGGCCUUCGUGUCCCUGGCGUCUCCGGAGGGGCUGGCUCCCAGCUCCGUUCUGAGGAGUUGGAAUCCCACCCAGUCCUGUUGUUGUGAUCUCAAUUCAAGAGGAAGGUGUGAUAUGGCGUCUGUCUGGGUUGGACACCGAGGGACAAUGAGAGAUCAUCCAGGCUUUAACCCUUCUGUGGAUGCUGAGGCGAUUCAUAAGGCAGUCAGAGAAAUCGGUGAGUGAUGCUUUACAGCUCCUUUCUUAAUGCUAAAACAGAUCAGGAAAGUUAAAUCCAAAAAUGCAUAGGUUCAAUUUGCCUAAGUUGCCUUAUCAAUUAGAGAUUGUAAGGCACUUAAAAAAAAAAAAAACAACUUUUUUUUUUUCUGCCCACUCCACUGUGUAUGGAGUUUCCAGGCCAGGGAUCAGAUCUGAGCCCAGUUAGGACCUAUGCUGCCACGGAGACAACGCCUGAUCCUUUAAUGCUCUGUGCCCAGCAGGAGGAUCAAACCCGUAUCCUGGUGCUGCAGGGAUUCCACCAAUCCCCUCGUGUCACAGCAGGAGUUCCAAGGCACUUUUAAAAAUUAUGAAAUAAUUAGGAAAAGUAUAGGAAACCCAGUUCUAUUUAAUCUUAAUAUUUACUGUAUUUACUUAAUACUAAACACUACCAUCAGCACUGCCAUCUCAGCAUCAAUCAUUAUAGGUACAGUCCCUGCCGAUUCUGCCUGGAUCUCAUUCCUCAGAGAUAAGCAAGAGUUUAUUCCUAUGAAACUUUUAUUUAUUUAUUUGCUUUUUAGGGCUGUACCUGCAGUAUAUGGAAGCUCCCAGGCUAGAAGUUGAAUCAGAGCUACAGCUGCUGGCCUGCACCACAGCCACAGCAAUACGGGACCCGAGCCGAGUCUGCAACCUACACCGCAGCUCAUGGCAACGCUGGACCCUUAACCCACUGAGCAAGGCCAAGGAUCGAACCCGCAUCCUCAUGGAUACUAGUUGGGUGCAUUACUGCUGGGCCACAAUGGAAACUCCUAUUCCCAUGAAACUUUUAAUCCUUAUCAGUUGAAAUCAUCCUGGAUAUAUGCUUCUGCAACUUGUUUUUCUCCCUUGACAUUAUGUUUUGGAGAUGUAGCCGUGUUGAUACAUUGAGCUCUAGUUCAUUAAUUUUAACUGCAGAGUAGUCUAUUGAAUUAUUACAUCCUAAUUGAUGUAAUUGUAUUGAUGGAGCAUUUAAAUCGCCUGCAGUUCUUUCCUAUUACAGUAUAAAAAUACUGCAUUGAAUAGCAAUGUGCUUCUGUCUUGUACACAUUUGCCAGCAUCUCUUAAAAUAUAAUGGUUGGAGUCUUUUGGUUGAAGGGGAUGUUUCUUUCCAAAUUAACUAGAAAUUUCCCCAGACUCCGUUCUCAAGUGAGUAUACAAAUUAGCAUUCCUACAGGCAAUAUGUGAGACUUCAUCUUGCCCCAUCUCCUCAUCAAUUCUUGCUGCAGUCAUCCUAUUCAGUUUUUCCCACUGAGUGGGUCUAAAAUGAUCUCAUUCUGUAUCUGUUUCCUUCCUCUUCCCCCCCCCCCUUACUGAUGAGGUGAAGCAUCCUUUCUUGUUUAUUUGCUUCCUCUCCCAUGAAUUACUUCUUCACAUCUUUUAUCCAUUUUUUCAGUUGGCUGUCUUCUUUGUGCCGGGCAAGAUUUAUUUUAAAAUAAAUUCUUGGCGUUCCCAUCGUGGUGCAGCGUAAACGAAUCCUACUAGGAUCCAUGAGGAUGAGGGUUAGAUCCCUAGUAUUAUUCAGUGGGUUGAAGAUCUGGCGUUGCUAUGAGCUGCGGUGUAGAUUGCCGAUGUGGCUCAGAUCCCAUGUUGCUGUGUCUGUGGAGUAGGCUGGCCGCUGUAGCUCCAGUUGGACCCCUAACCUGGGAACUUCCAUAUG
This 2461-nucleotide long non-coding RNA is filed under the name Sus scrofa (pig). RNAcentral's name for it is "lncRNA (ENSSSCG00035072463.1)". The record is from RNAcentral. Lineage: Eukaryota; Metazoa; Chordata; Mammalia; Artiodactyla; Suidae.